Molecule: ribosomal RNA, 1529 nt
Filed under: metagenome
Description: bacterial SSU rRNA
Rfam family: Bacterial small subunit ribosomal RNA
Source: RNAcentral
AGAGUUUGAUUCUGGCUCAGAACGAACGCUGGCAGCGUGGAUGAGGCAUGCAAGUCGAACGGGAUCCGCGACUAUAGCAAUAUAGUUGCAGUGAGAGUGGCGAAAGGGUGAGUAACGCGUAGGCAAUUUACCUCCGAGAUGGGGAUAACCCCGCGAAAGCGGGGCUAAUACCGGAUGGGGUCCCCCGGCGCAUGUCGGGGUGAUUAAAGACGGGGAUCCUUCGGGACCUGUCGCUCGGAGAUAAGCCUGCGUCCCAUCAGCUAGUUGGUGAGGUAACGGCCCACCAAGGCAUACGGGUAGCUGGUCUGAGAGGAUGGUCAGCCACACUGGGACUGAGACACUGCCCAGACUCCUACGGGAGGCUGCAGUCGAGGAUCUUUUGCAAUGCGCGAAAGCGUGACAAAGCGACGCUGCGUGGAGGAUGAAGGCCUUCGGGUCGUAAACUCCUGUCGUCCGGGAACAAUGAUCGGCCGGUGAACAAUCGGUCGGUGUGAUGGUACCGGAGGAGGAAGCCACGGCCAACUCUGUGCCAGCAGCCGCGGUAAUACAGAGGUGGCGAGCGUUGUUCGGAUUUACUGGGCGUAAAGGGUGCGUAGGUGGCCCUGCGUGUCGGGCGUGAAAUCCCACCGCUCAACGGUGGAACGCCGUCCGAAACUGCAGGGCUAGAGUGCAGGAUGGGAGAGCGGAAUUCUCGGUGUAGCGGUGAAAUGCGUUGAUAUCGAGAAGAACACCGGUGGCGAAGGCGGCUCUCUGGAAUGCAACUGACACUGAGGCACGAAAGCUGGGGGAGCAAACAGGAUUAGAUACCCUGGUAGUCCCAGCCCUAAACGGUGUGCACUUGGUGUGGGGAGAAUUGACCCUCCCCGUGCCGGAGCUGACGCGUUAAGUGCACCGCCUGGGGAGUACGGCCGCAAGGCUAAAACUCAAAGAAAUUGACGGGGGCCCGCACAAGCGGAGGAGCAUGUGGCUUAAUUCGAUGCAACGCGAAGAACCUUACCAGGGCUUGACAUGUAGCUGCACGCCCGCCGAAAGGCGGGAAGCCUUCGAGGGUGCUACACAGGUGCUGCAUGGCUGUCGUCAGUUCGUGCCGUGAGGUGUUGGGUUAAGUCCCGCAACGAACGCAACCCUUGUGUUUAGUUGCCACUGCGGGUGUUGAAUCCGCAAGCACUCUAAACAGACUGCCCGUACAAGCGGGAGGAAGGUGGGGAUGACGUCAAGUCAGUAUGGCCCUUACGCCCUGGGCUGCACACGUGCUACAAUGGCCGGCACAGAAGGAUGCAAGACCGCGAGGUGGAGCAAAUCCCGAAAACUGGCCACAGUUCAGAUUGCAGGCUGCAACUCGCCUGCAUGAAGUUGGAUUCGCUAGUAAUGGCGCAUCAGCUACGGCGCCGUGAAUACGUUCCCGGGCCUUGUACACACCGCCCGUCACAUCAUGAAAGCCGUCUGCACCCGAAGUUGCUGCACCAACCCGCAAGGGAGGUAGGCACCUAAGGUGUGGGUGGUGAUUGGGAUGAAGUCGGAACAAGGUA